RNAcentral lists this ribosomal RNA (2904 nucleotides) under Escherichia coli. RNAcentral describes it as "23S ribosomal RNA". It matches the Rfam family "Bacterial large subunit ribosomal RNA". Lineage: Bacteria; Pseudomonadati; Pseudomonadota; Gammaproteobacteria; Enterobacterales; Enterobacteriaceae. The record is from RNAcentral.
GGUUAAGCGACUAAGCGUACACGGUGGAUGCCCUGGCAGUCAGAGGCGAUGAAGGACGUGCUAAUCUGCGAUAAGCGUCGGUAAGGUGAUAUGAACCGUUAUAACCGGCGAUUUCCGAAUGGGGAAACCCAGUGUGUUUCGACACACUAUCAUUAACUGAAUCCAUAGGUUAAUGAGGCGAACCGGGGGAACUGAAACAUCUAAGUACCCCGAGGAAAAGAAAUCAACCGAGAUUCCCCCAGUAGCGGCGAGCGAACGGGGAGCAGCCCAGAGCCUGAAUCAGUAUGUGUGUUAGUGGAAGCGUCUGGAAAGGCGCGCGAUACAGGGUGACAGCCCCGUACACAAAAAUGCACAUAUUGUGAGCUCGAUGAGUAGGGCGGGACACGUGGUAUCCUGUCUGAAUAUGGGGGGACCAUCCUCCAAGGCUAAAUACUCCUGACUGACCGAUAGUGAACCAGUACCGUGAGGGAAAGGCGAAAAGAACCCCGGCGAGGGGAGUGAAAAAGAACCUGAAACCGUGUACGUACAAGCAGUGGGAGCACGCUUAGGCGUGUGACUGCGUACCUUUUGUAUAAUGGGUCAGCGACUUAUAUUCUGUAGCAAGGUUAACCGAAUAGGGGAGCCGAAGGGAAACCGAGUCUUAACUGGGCGUUAAGUUGCAGGGUAUAGACCCGAAACCCGGUGAUCUAGCCAUGGGCAGGUUGAAGGUUGGGUAACACUAACUGGAGGACCGAACCGACUAAUGUUGAAAAAUUAGCGGAUGACUUGUGGCUGGGGGUGAAAGGCCAAUCAAACCGGGAGAUAGCUGGUUCUCCCCGAAAGCUAUUUAGGUAGCGCCUCGUGAAUUCAUCUCCGGGGGUAGAGCACUGUUUCGGCAAGGGGGUCAUCCCGACUUACCAACCCGAUGCAAACUGCGAAUACCGGAGAAUGUUAUCACGGGAGACACACGGCGGGUGCUAACGUCCGUCGUGAAGAGGGAAACAACCCAGACCGCCAGCUAAGGUCCCAAAGUCAUGGUUAAGUGGGAAACGAUGUGGGAAGGCCCAGACAGCCAGGAUGUUGGCUUAGAAGCAGCCAUCAUUUAAAGAAAGCGUAAUAGCUCACUGGUCGAGUCGGCCUGCGCGGAAGAUGUAACGGGGCUAAACCAUGCACCGAAGCUGCGGCAGCGACGCUGAUGCGUUGUUGGGUAGGGGAGCGUUCUGUAAGCCUGCGAAGGUGUGCUGUGAGGCAUGCUGGAGGUAUCAGAAGUGCGAAUGCUGACAUAAGUAACGAUAAAGCGGGUGAAAAGCCCGCUCGCCGGAAGACCAAGGGUUCCUGUCCAACGUUAAUCGGGGCAGGGUGAGUCGACCCCUAAGGCGAGGCCGAAAGGCGUAGUCGAUGGGAAACAGGUUAAUAUUCCUGUACUUGGUGUUACUGCGAAGGGGGGACGGAGAAGGCUAUGUUGGCCGGGCGACGGUUGUCCCGGUUUAAGCGUGUAGGCUGGUUUUCCAGGCAAAUCCGGAAAAUCAAGGCUGAGGCGUGAUGACGAGGCACUACGGUGCUGAAGCAACAAAUGCCCUGCUUCCAGGAAAAGCCUCUAAGCAUCAGGUAACAUCAAAUCGUACCCCAAACCGACACAGGUGGUCAGGUAGAGAAUACCAAGGCGCUUGAGAGAACUCGGGUGAAGGAACUAGGCAAAAUGGUGCCGUAACUUCGGGAGAAGGCACGCUGAUAUGUAGGUGAGGUCCCUCGCGGAUGGAGCUGAAAUCAGUCGAAGAUACCAGCUGGCUGCAACUGUUUAUUAAAAACACAGCACUGUGCAAACACGAAAGUGGACGUAUACGGUGUGACGCCUGCCCGGUGCCGGAAGGUUAAUUGAUGGGGUUAGCGCAAGCGAAGCUCUUGAUCGAAGCCCCGGUAAACGGCGGCCGUAACUAUAACGGUCCUAAGGUAGCGAAAUUCCUUGUCGGGUAAGUUCCGACCUGCACGAAUGGCGUAAUGAUGGCCAGGCUGUCUCCACCCGAGACUCAGUGAAAUUGAACUCGCUGUGAAGAUGCAGUGUACCCGCGGCAAGACGGAAAGACCCCGUGAACCUUUACUAUAGCUUGACACUGAACAUUGAGCCUUGAUGUGUAGGAUAGGUGGGAGGCUUAGAAGUGUGGACGCCAGUCUGCAUGGAGCCGACCUUGAAAUACCACCCUUUAAUGUUUGAUGUUCUAACGUUGACCCGUAAUCCGGGUUGCGGACAGUGUCUGGUGGGUAGUUUGACUGGGGCGGUCUCCUCCUAAAGAGUAACGGAGGAGCACGAAGGUUGGCUAAUCCUGGUCGGACAUCAGGAGGUUAGUGCAAUGGCAUAAGCCAGCUUGACUGCGAGCGUGACGGCGCGAGCAGGUGCGAAAGCAGGUCAUAGUGAUCCGGUGGUUCUGAAUGGAAGGGCCAUCGCUCAACGGAUAAAAGGUACUCCGGGGAUAACAGGCUGAUACCGCCCAAGAGUUCAUAUCGACGGCGGUGUUUGGCACCUCGAUGUCGGCUCAUCACAUCCUGGGGCUGAAGUAGGUCCCAAGGGUAUGGCUGUUCGCCAUUUAAAGUGGUACGCGAGCUGGGUUUAGAACGUCGUGAGACAGUUCGGUCCCUAUCUGCCGUGGGCGCUGGAGAACUGAGGGGGGCUGCUCCUAGUACGAGAGGACCGGAGUGGACGCAUCACUGGUGUUCGGGUUGUCAUGCCAAUGGCACUGCCCGGUAGCUAAAUGCGGAAGAGAUAAGUGCUGAAAGCAUCUAAGCACGAAACUUGCUCCGAGAUGAGUUCUCCCUGACCCUUUAAGGGUCCUGAAGGAACGUUGAAGACGACGACGUUGAUAGGCCGGGUGUGUAAGCGCAGCGAUGCGUUGAGCUAACCGGUACUAAUGAACCGUGAGGCUUAACCUU